AGCAGCCGCGGUAAUUCCAGCUCCAAUAGCGUAUAUUAAAGUUGUUGCAGUUAAAAAGCUCGUAGUUGGAAUUUCGGGGUUAGUAGGUUGGUCAUGCCUCUGGUAUGUACUGGUCUCACUGAUUCCUCCUUCCUGAUGAACCUUAAUGCCAUUAAUUUGGUGUUUUGGGGAAUUUGGACUGUUACUUUGAAAAAUUAGAGUGUUUAAAGCAGGCUAACGCUUGAAUACAUUAGCAUGGAAUAAUGAAAUAGGACGUUCGAUCCUAUUUUGUUGUUUCUAGGAUUGACGUAAUGAUUAAUAGGGAUAGUUGGGGCAUUAGUAUUCAAUUGUCAGAGGU
RNAcentral lists this ribosomal RNA (337 nucleotides) under uncultured Glomus. Its description in RNAcentral is "SSU rRNA". It matches the Rfam family "Eukaryotic small subunit ribosomal RNA", at positions 569 to 912 of the family's 1831-position model. Lineage: Eukaryota; Fungi; Glomeromycota; Glomeromycetes; Glomerales; Glomeraceae. The record is from RNAcentral.